AAAGAGCCAGAAAUUGAGAGGGCAUCCAAAACAAAACCCUCGGGAAUAACAAAGUACCAGGUGUUGAUAGUGUUCAAUUAGGGACUCAGAAUUAUCAGUCUGAUUUUGUUAGUUGGGAGGAAGAAAUCACUGAAUACUAAGUAGUGGUCAUCACUAAUAAAGAUUUCAAUUGUAUAAAGAGCAAUUUAUUGUCUAACACGAUAAGAAAAUGGCUGGAACUAAUAUUCCCAUAGGCUAAGUAUUAUCUUCACCAUACCUGAUGGAGUUGCUCAUGAGUCACAGCUGGCCAGGCAGUCAUCAGUGAGAUGGAAAGGUGGCAACGUGUGUUGCUUAUGGGAAUGUGGUAAUUGUUGAUCUUUUGAAGCUGCUGUCUUCCAAGUCAUUUUGUUUUCUCUGUAAGUUUUAUGCUUCUUUAUGUCUGUGUUUUUUAUCUUGAUUUCAAACUACUAACUACUGUUUCUAACUACUAACUACUAUUCUUGAUUGCAAACUACUAAUGACUCAAAAGAUUUUGUUCCUUAUUUAUGCUUACUAAAAAGCAAUUCUUGCAAUUCUUUAGCUUGUAUGCUGUUUCUUUGUGUUAAUUCAUCAGUCAUUUUUUCCUUUGAGCUGAGCUGGAGUAAUUCAGCUGUGCUUUGUGGAAUUGGGCUUUAUAUAAGGGAUAGCUGAGGCUCAUUAAACAGGAUCCUGGAUUGUAUUCUAUCUACCUGCAAACCCAACAUGAUGAUAGCUGUUGCUUUGUUCCCCAUCCCACCUCCCCACGCCCCUGCAAUAAUACUGCAAAAUUCAUCUGUACAGUCUUCACUACAUUGUAUCACACAUGAGAGUCCAGCUAUUUCUUCCGUGGUACAAGUGCAUAUUAGAUAUGUGGAAGUGCCUAGAAGAACCACCUGGGACAUCUGGGUGAAGAUCCAUGUCAUCCCAGCCUCCAGCCUACUCUAGUACUUCUGGAGUACCUACUGCAAGUUAUGUUAGUUGCCU
This 981-nucleotide long non-coding RNA is filed under the name Anas zonorhyncha (Eastern spot-billed duck). RNAcentral's name for it is "lncRNA (ENSAZOG00000013676.1)". Lineage: Eukaryota; Metazoa; Chordata; Aves; Anseriformes; Anatidae. The record is from RNAcentral.